This 1879-nucleotide long non-coding RNA is filed under the name Phoenix dactylifera (date palm). Its description in RNAcentral is "long non-coding RNA (PDAC_LNC001637)". Lineage: Eukaryota; Viridiplantae; Streptophyta; Magnoliopsida; Arecales; Arecaceae. The record is from RNAcentral.
AUGGAACUAAUUAUUUUCAUUCACGUGCUCGAAAGACAAAAUAUCAUCAUCUUUUCAUCUAAAUGUAAAUUGGAAAAGGCCAUUGGAUCUCUCUAAUGCAACUGGGUCCUCUUCAGCCUGGAAAAGUACUGAAAACUAGCAGCCAACCACGUAACUCCAAUAUCUUCAAGCACGGGAAUGUGAGCCCGAUCGACCUGGCCAAUUCAAUUAGCCGUUAAUGCCGUGGCAACUUACUUAGCCAACUCAUUCAACUCUAAGCCGAUUGACCGAACCAACUCCGACCCAUUGCAUCCGGUCGACCUUCAAGAAUCAACAACGUCCAUAUCAAAGGGAUGGCCAUGGGCCCACCGAAGAAAAAUAAGUAAAUAAAUAGGUAUCCAUGCCAACCUCCCACAUACUCAAAAACAUACAUUCAUGGGUCGGCCAUGACCAUGAAGCUAUAUGUGAAGACGCCGUUGAGGGGAUGAACGGAUUCAAAGGCAGCCAAGUUGGCAUAAAGCCGUGCCGCAAAUUGGUUCCUCCCACCCAACUGCUCUCUCCCCCAUAACGCUAGCUGCUGGAAGGAAGACUAACAAGAAGUCAUUAUACCACGCGAUUUUGAACACCUCUCCUCUCUCUCUCUCUCUCUCUCUCUCUGNNNNNNNNNNNNNNNNNNNNCUCUCCUCUCUCUCUCUCUCUCUCUCUCUCUGAAUUGUAUCCCUCGAAUCAGUGUAGGGUAUAAUUUCUCUGUUCUCAGGCUCGUGCAUGUCGGCUUUGUCAACGUCCUAAUCUUAUGAGGACAAAGCCUUCUCUUGUUGAAUAAAAAAAAAAAUCCAAGACAAGACAAAGACGAGAGCAUCCCAUUUGUUAUCCCGCAUUUAAAACACGUUUGCGUCUACGUCCCUUUCGUCCAGCAGUACCACUCAUAGACCUUCCACCUCUUCCACAGCAUAGCUAGCCACCCCUUUUCCCCCUCCUUUUACUCUCUGCACCAUUCCCCUUAUCCCUCCUCCUCCUUUUCUCUCUCAAGUGUUCUUCUUCUUCUACGUCUCCCUCAAUCUCUUUAUAUAUGAGAUAGAUCCUAUCAUGGUUGGCCGAAAAAAGUCGUGCCAUAGCAUCAUCCUCGUACUACCCUUUUGUACUUGUUGUAUCGUAGAAUCUGAUCUCGGCGAUCGGAGGAGUUGAUAUUUGCUGCGCAUGGAUUGCCUCCAAGACUGGCCCGAACCAGUCGUCCGCGUCCAGUCCCUGUCGGACAGCGGCGCCAACACGAUCCCCGGCAGAUACGUAAAGCCGCCCUCCGACCGCCCUUCUUCGGCCCCGUGCGCCGACCUCAGCAUCCCUGUCGUCGACCUCGCCUCGCUCGCCGGAGAUGGCACCGUCGACUGCGCGGCGGUCGUCCAGGCGGUGUCGAGCGCGUGCAGGGACUGGGGGUUCUUCCAGGUGGUGAACCAUGGGGUGGACCCAGGUUUGAUGAGAAGGAUGAGGCAAGUGUGGAGGGGCUUCUUCCACCUACCCAUGGAAGCGAAGCAGGUGUAUGCCAAUUCCCCGAAGACUUACGAGGGCUACGGCAGCCGCCUCGGGAUCCAGAAGGGUGCCAUUCUCGACUGGGGUGACUACUACUUCCUCCACGUCCUCCCCCAAUCCCUCAAAAGCCAUACCAAGUGGCCCGCCCUUCCUUCUACCUUGAGGUAUUAACGAACCAUGUUCUUUCUCGUUCUUUAAAAACCAUCGGAUCGAUUAUUCUUCUUUCUCUUAAAGUUGAAGAUGGCAUAUGUCCAACAUAAUGAAAAAGAAAGCAAUAUUAAACAUACCGGUCGAUUUGGAUCAGCAGGGAGACUACCGACGAGUAUGGACAUGAAUUGAUAAAGCUGUGCGAGAGAGUGAUGAAGGUGCUGUCGUU